UAUCGUGCUAGGCCGGGGUGCUCAUCCUACCCUUUUACCAUAAACGGAUGUUCGAUGGGGCUGAAGUCCAAGGGGCGGCACAGGUAAGGAUGUUUCAGUCCUUCCUGAACCGUCGAUACCUCGUCCUUAUUGACUGGUUCCUCUCUGAAUCGGAUCAGGGCAGGAAUGCAGCAGUCCUAAAGAUUGAAACUGGUGCUUUAAGGGUAGCGGGGAGGAGGAACAGGAAGGGUCAACUGAGCCUCAGUGCUUUUGUCCACCCUUGGACGUGCACAACU
Molecule: signal recognition particle RNA, 275 nt
Filed under: Nanobdellota archaeon
Lineage: Archaea; Nanobdellati; Nanobdellota
Description: signal recognition particle sRNA
Rfam family: Archaeal signal recognition particle RNA
Source: RNAcentral